UACCACGUUACACGCGCUUGUCGAACACGCACCAUUGCUCAAACCGCUCAGUUUACGAUUAGACGUACGUUGCAAUGGAUCUGGAUCAGUGUUCUUUGCGCAUUUCCACAGAAAAAACGCCAGUAGAUGUGCCGUUGGUUAUAGGACCAAUUUCUAUCACAAACGCUGCCCUUCACCAUAAUGCAUCUAUAUUUCUUACUGCAGCGAAAAUAGCGGAACAUUUUCAAUUGCCGUACGUUCAUACAUUAAAAUCACCCGUAUCGAUGGAAGAACUUGACGGAAGCAUUUUUAAACCAACAACGGUGCGUUGGCUCGAGGUGUUCCCGUUUGUAGAUGAGUGUAUGCUACGAUCCUUGGUGAGACAAGCCGAACAUUGUGGUUUUAGUGCUUUUGUGUUAUCCUUCUUGGGGCCCUCCAAUCAUGUGAUGAGCAUAUUCAACGAACAACCUCACGUCCGGUUUUCUGACCUUCAUCGAACCCAGGGCGAAGCUAUUUAUCGGUCAAAAUAUAUGCUGCCGCCAGCUAGGGAAGCAAAACCUGUGACAUGGUUUAUUGAUCAGUUUCGUUGUUGUACGGAAGCUCCAGUAAUUGCAUGCGUAUCUACCACGCAACAGGAUCUAAUUUUCCAAGCGCUCUACGCAGGUGUCGACAUCAUCUGUGUGGUUAUUGAUGAAUACACGCCUUUCCCAAUAUUCGUUAAACUUAUCCAGAUGAUAAAGCAGUCAAUUUUCAUAAAUACUCCAAUAUACGCAGGAGGAAGUAGUUUCACUGAAACAGAAGUUGCCGAGCUCAUUGCACUAGGUGUAGUACGCAUAAUGAUCGAUCAACCUAUCGUAUGGGGGUAUAUGAUAGAUGGAUUUGACGGAAUAUGUAAUGUAGUCAACAUUUAUAAAAAUAGAAUACGUAAUAAACGAUAAGUUUUCUAUUUCUAUUAUUAUUAUUUUUUAUACUGAAAGAACACUUCUUUUAGUCGCUACUACACAUACAGUAUUUAUUCUGUGGCAGUGAUGUAGCAAUACCUCACUGAGACGUUUCAUCCAAAGCCACUAGAACAGAAAGUCCGGCCCGCAGGUCAAAUGCAGGCACAAGAGAGUGCCAUCCGGGACGAGAGGGUGAACAUUUCGGGAACUACACUGUAUACUAACGUUUGCAUUUGAAAAAAAUGGACUUUUUUCAUCUGGCUGUCGAAAAAAUUAAGAGAUUUUUUUUCCAAGGUACAUCCAACAUCCAGGUACAUCUAGGUACAUGAACACCCUUUAAAAGGUAAUUAUUUUACCUUUCUUGCAAAAGAUAUCUACAACCAUGCGAGCUGCCUUUUGUCUUUUACCCUUUUGUAGAGCUUUUGCAACUUGUUGGUUAGUGAUGAGUAAAGUUGGCAAAAAACCGGAGUCGACUCCGAUCCGACUCCGAUAAAUUCGGAAUCGACUCCGGAAGGUA
Long non-coding RNA from Anopheles gambiae (African malaria mosquito), 1437 nucleotides. RefSeq lists it as uncharacterized. The record is from RefSeq and is a predicted model, not a curated record. NCBI's taxonomy places the organism in Eukaryota, Metazoa, Arthropoda, Insecta, Diptera, Culicidae. The transcript is spliced from 2 exons.